UGAAUACGAGACGCUAAGGCGUCGAAGUAGUGUAUAUCAGACUUCCAAGAAAAGCUUGCACUGUCAUAGAUAAAAAAUGCCUGUACCAUAACCGACACAGGUGGGUAGGUAGAGUAUACUAAGGGGCGCGAGAUAACUCUCUCUAAGGAACUCGGCAAAAUAACUCCGUAACUUCGGGAGAAGGAGUGCCUUAUUUAUAAGGUUGCAAUAACAAGAUCCAAGCAACUGUUUAUCAAAAACACAGGUCUCCGCUAAGUCGUAAGACGAUGUAUGGGGGCUGACGCCUGCCCAGUGCCAGAAGGUUAAAGAAGUUGGUUAGCAAUUGCGAAGCUGAUAACUGAAGCCCUGGUGAACGGCGGCCGUAACAAUAACGGUCCUAAGGUAGCGAAAUUCCUUGUCGGGUAAGUUCCGACCCGCACGAAAGGCGUAAUGAUUUGGAUACUGUCUCGGAGAGGGGCUCGGUGAAAUAGACUUGUCUGUGAAGAUGCGGACUACCUGCACCAGGACAGAAAGACCCUAUGAAGCUUUACUGUAACUUGAAAUUGAAAUUGGACUUUAUUCGCGCAGCAUAGGUGGGAGGCGUUGAUUAUAAUCUUGCGGGAUUAUUGGAGCCAUCAGUGAGAUACCACUCUUGUAAUGUUAGAUUUCUAACUUUGAAUCAUUAUCUGGUCAAAGAACAGUUUCAGGCGGGCAGUUUGACUGGGGCGGUCGCCUCCUAAAUGGUAACGGAGGCGUACAAAGGUUUCCUCUGAACGGUUAGAAAUCGUAUCUAGAGUGUAAAGGCAUAAGGAAGCUUGACUGUGAGACCUACAAGUCGAGCAGGGACGAAAGUCGGUCUUAGUGAUCUGACGGUACUGAGUGGAAAGGCCGUCACUCAACGGAUAAAAGUUACUCUAGGAUAACAGGCUGAUCUCCCCCAAGAGUUCACAUCGACGGGGAGGUUUGGCACCUCGAUGUCGGCUCAUCGCAUCCUGGGGCGGUAGUACGUCCCAAGGGUUGGGCUGUUCGCCCAUGAAAGCGGUACGCGAGCUGGGUUCAGAACGUCGUGAGACAGUUCGGUCCAUAUCCGGUGUAGGCGUUAGAAUAUUGAGAGGAGCCUUCUUUAGUACGAGAGGACCGAGAAGGACAUACCUCUGGUGUACCAGUUAUCGUGCCAACGGUAAACGCUGGGUAGCUAUGUAUGGAGUGGAUAACCGCUGAAAGCAUCUAAGUGGGAAGCCCACCUCAAGAUAAG
Molecule: ribosomal RNA, 1234 nt
Filed under: metagenome
Description: bacterial LSU rRNA
Rfam family: Bacterial large subunit ribosomal RNA
Source: RNAcentral